Molecule: non-coding RNA, 3913 nt
Organism: Peromyscus maniculatus bairdii (prairie deer mouse)
Lineage: Eukaryota; Metazoa; Chordata; Mammalia; Rodentia; Cricetidae
Source: RefSeq, a predicted model, not a curated record
AAAUAUUCUCCUUUAUUAGAUAGAGCCGAGAAGAUGGGUACGAUGAUCAAAACCUACGCGCUUACGGGUGGGGUGGGGAGACACGCGCGGGCCCUUGCGUGGGCUCUGCACGGCUUCCCCCCCCUCCCCCGAUGCUGGCCCCGCGCAGGCCCGCAGCAGAGCCCAGGGCAUGCUAGCUGGUUUAAGGAGAGACGUCAGGUAUCGACUGCCAGUGAUGUGUACAUCCAAGCGUGGUGACUUCCCCACAAGUUCUGCCUGCUCCUGGCCCAUCAGCUCUUUCCAUUGACCUUCCCCUUGUCCUGUUCUCCAGAUUGGCUGUGGAUAUCACCGGGGACUAUACUACUGCUUUGGUGUAUUAGUUACUUUUCUUGUUGCUAUGACGAAAUAACUGACAGGCAUCAUCUUAAUCUCAAGGCCUUCCCCCAGUGGUCCACAUCCUCCAGUGAAGCUCCACCUUCUAAAGGUUCCCUAACCUUCUCGAACAGCACCACCAGCAGAGCACCAAGUGUUCAAAUGCACAAGCCAAAGGGCCAUUUCACAUUCAAACUACAACUCUUAAUAGAUGACUGUGUUUCACCAUGGUUAAUAUUGUAGUAUAUAUGUUGUUCACCAUAAAAUGGUAAGCAAAGUUCUUCUAUUUUCUUAAUAAACUAUUUCAGGUCCUUGAUUACGGAGUAUUUAGAUUCUGCACCUUGAUCCUGUCAAAAUCAUCAACACUCUUCCUAGUACCUCCCUAUAUUCCACAGAUUUUCUAGCCAGGCCAUCACUACUACCAAAAUAAAUAUUUCAUGCCUUAGUGCAUCUGGGAGAUGGCUGGCAUUCUAUCCAAUCAAAAAUCAGCUAUUUUAAUACUGUACACUACAGAUGUUAUUGGAUUUUCAAAGCUAUGCUUCAGAAGCUACCUCUAGUACACAGGGAGAGCAAGGAGAUAAGACUUAAACUAGCCUGCUGGGCCUGGUGGUGCAUGCCUUUAAUCCCAGCACUCAGAGAGAGAGAGAGACAUUGGAUCUCUGUGAGCAGUCAGGGCUGCCUGGUUAGACCCUGUCUAAAAUAAACAAUCAACAACUGGUAAAUUAGAAAGCUUCUCACAUCUGUCUUCUAUAUUGCCAUUUGUCUGCCCAGUACUUUCCUUUCUCUCCAGGGCUCCUUUUCUUUGGGGGAAAUAUUUCUGCCUUUAGCAGGUUGUUACAGAAGUGAGUAGUGCUCCAGCAUUCCUUCCCCUGUGAGGCUUUAUCUACAAGCCCACUAAAGCUCUCAGCACAUCAUGCCCAGCUCUGCUACAGAGAGUAUGCUUAAGUUAACCAAUAUAUUCUCUUUUAUAUAGUACCUAACUUGAGUUGACUUCUGAGAACAAAACGGGUGGACAUUUUUUUUUUUUUUGUCUAGCCACAUUCUUUCAGAGAAGACUAACUGCUAAAUACAGUUGGACAUCACCAAACAGAAGUACAAAAAGCAGUACCAUUGUCUUCACCAUCAUGGGUUGAAUCGCAGUCUAUAAACAAAGCAGACAUUCCCUUUAUGAAGAUAAAUUUAGAACGAUUCUCUCUGUAUAUGAUCUAUCAAAGCACAGUCCCCAGUUGCCUCCUGGCCAGUUGUCUCUAUGUAGUAUGUAGAGUGAACAGCCAUGGGACAGUACCCUCUAAUUACUUGUGUAUGUACAACUCUAUCUUACAUCCUAUAUAGUGAGCUCUGUCAUUAGCAAAUAAUAAAAUAUGAUAUUGCUUAUCUAUGAAUGUUGGAUACAAAUUAUCAAGAAAUAUUUGAUUAAUGGUAGUCCUUCUCAAGUCAUACCAUCAGCAUUUUUGUUUGUUUCUUUUUUUUCAAGACAAGUUCUCACUAUGUAGCUUAGACUGGAAUGGAACUCACUGUGUAGCUCAGCCCAGACUAGCUUUAAACUCAUGAUCCUCCGGCCUCUGUCUUCUGACUACUUUUUACAGAUGUGGUACCACAUCUAGCCCAUGUCAUCUUAAUUUCCUAGGAAUUACCUGCUAGUAAAACAAAUCAGAAAUAACAAUUCUUUUCUCUCACAUUAAAGGAGUCUGCUAGUGGCCAAUUCAGGGACCAUUAUGGCCAACAGGACCAUGUUACCUUUAAAUGGUGACUUCCUUUCCUGUUUGAUAGUCCAGUGCCUCUCUCAGGGCCCACCCCACAUAAUUGUACAAUUUACUGAAAUGCUGCUGAUCAGGAUGUGAGUAGGGGAUGAAUAUUCUAAAGGACUGCUUGUAGUCAUAGGAGGAGCUUCUAACUCAUCUACAAGGAUAGGAGUGUCUUCUGCUCAAAGACAGGAAAAGAUGUGGAUGUUGGAAUUCUAACUAUCUCAUUUAUUUUCUUGACAAUGCAAAUUUUAUCUUCACCUGUAAGCACUUUCCUGGAAGGUCUGCCUAAAAUACUUACUUGGAUUUUAUUAGCCAUAAACUUAAUGAAAAGUCAUUAACUAGCUGAAAAAGAAGCUGAGAAACUACUUCUGUUCAACACAUUGCUACCAGAAGUGAAACACUGGGCAGCAUAGACAGGAUCCAUCUCUGCAACAUUGAAUGGCUCGGGGGUCCAGAGAAAUAAGUGAAGACAGUGGAUUUAAUUUUUUUAAAACUUUUAAUGCUGGCAAAGCAAGCAUGCCGUGGUGCUUAUCUAAAUUAAAGUGAGGCAUUUUCAGCCAAACUUUCAUGGUCUGUAUUUAGAAGCUCAUAAUUAAUUACUCCCUUUUUUCCUUUGUUUCUUUAUCUCUCCGAAAGGUCAGUAGAGCUUGUUUUUUGUGUCCUCAAGAACAUCUAUAUUUAAAUUCUGAGAUGUCAAAUAGAAGGAUUCCCUUACUCUGUAAAUUUUUAAAAGAAAAACUUUCUUCUAAAGGGUAAGGUCCUUUUCUUGUCCCAAAUACCAUUGAACUUUUAGGAGUGUGUGCAUAUUAUGCUUGUAACUAUUUCUAAGCCAGUAAAUUGUACGGGGUUCCCCACUGCCUUUCCAGGAUGGUUAUAACCUGGACACCAACACUGGCAAAUUUAGCACCUUUCUCCGUCACUCUCCCUGGUUUAUAUCCACACUUGUUUCACAUAUUCCGACUUUCCCAAUCUGGUUCUCUGGUUGACUGGCUUCCACUGUUUGGCCUUCCAUUUCCACACUCUCAAAGGAGUUGUCCUUCCAAGCACCUGCCCCAGCAUUCCCUACAGCCUUCCUUGAUGCUCUCUCUCACAAUGGGUCAUACCCUCCUUCCCCUUUGAACACCCACAGCUUGUUGAGGAGAGGUCCUCUGCCGUGUGAACUAAGCCCGACUGGAACCCAGUGACUUGAGAAAAGCAUGUUUGACUCCAGAUUGUUGGCUCUGCCCCUUAUCGUACAAUCUUGGGGAAACUGCUUCACUUCAUCUGAAACAUCAAAUAUCCAAUUUCAGGGCAACAGCAUUUCCCAUUCUGUGAAGAGACCUCGGAAGUAGCUACACCACUGUGCGGAGGCCCAGGUGGGGAAUGAAGGAGACUGGGCUGGCUGAUUGAUCACGUCGUGUGUAAGGAGCUGGAGUGGUAUAAACAAAGUUUGUCGAUAGACAGCUGCAGGAAGGAGAGACAAUGGCAGCCCUUAUCAACAUGAUGAGAGGUGCUUCCUUCAGAUACAAAAGUGAUCUCUGGAGCUCCGUUUCCCAACCAUUCUCCAAGCCCGGAUCCCACAGCGCGUCUUGUUAAUAUGGCUCUUAUGUUUUACUUUGUUUGACACUCCCUUUUUUAAAUAACCUUGACUUAUUGAAGGAACCAGAUGUUCCAAUUGAAGAAACAAUCAUUCCAAACAACGUCAAACUUCUGGUUUGUUUGAUUACUUGGACAAAUAUAUUAGCAUUUGCUUUGAUCCAUUAUCUCCUCUGUUUUCUGGAAUCUAUGUUAUAACUAAGGAUUUAUUGGAUUAAAAUUAAAUAUUUUUUGUUAUAAUA